RNAcentral lists this ribosomal RNA (226 nucleotides) under uncultured bacterium. RNAcentral's name for it is "partial 16S ribosomal RNA". The record is from RNAcentral.
AUUGAACGCUGGCGGCAUGACUUAACACAUGCAAGUCGAACGGCAGUCGCGGGAAAGCUUGCUUUCCUGGCGGCGAGUGGCGGACGGGUGAGUAAUACUUAGGAAUCUGCCCACGUAGUCGGGGGGAUAGGCCCGGGGAAAAUCGGAUUAAUACCGCAUAAGCCCUACGGGGGAAGCUAGGGGACCCAGCACCAUAGCCUUUUGCUAACCGAUCAAAGGCAUAAGA